GCCUUUCUUCUUCCCUUCUUGGUGUUGUUUUCCUUCACCUUCACUUGAACUUUGCGGUUUAAACUUUGCCGCAAGAGCUCCUUCAAUAGUUACCUCAGAUCUUGACGUUAACCUUUGCUCAUAGGCUAACAAAGCACCUGUAAGUUCAGUUAAAGAAAGACUUGACAGAUCCUUUGUAUGCUCUAUAGCCGUGGUAACAGCAUCAAACUUUUCGGGUAAGGUAAUCAACAUUUUUUGCACCACUCUUUUGUCUGGUACGUCCUCUCCAUUCAAUUUAAGCUAAUUCACCACAUUAGCCACUCUAGAAGAGUAGUCCUUUACGGAUUCAGCAUCCUUCAUCCUUAGAUUUUCAAACUCUCUGCUCAAAGUUUG
RNAcentral lists this long non-coding RNA (372 nucleotides) under Olea europaea (common olive). RNAcentral's name for it is "long non-coding RNA (OEUR_LNC005978)". Lineage: Eukaryota; Viridiplantae; Streptophyta; Magnoliopsida; Lamiales; Oleaceae. The record is from RNAcentral.